AAUCGGACGGCCUGUAAUUGUGA
RNAcentral lists this non-coding RNA (23 nucleotides) under Arabidopsis thaliana (thale cress). The record is from RNAcentral. Lineage: Eukaryota; Viridiplantae; Streptophyta; Magnoliopsida; Brassicales; Brassicaceae.